CAGCCGCCACGGUAAUACAGAGGGUGCGAGCGUUAAUCGGAUUUACUGGGCGUAAAGCGUGCGUAGGCGGCUUUUUAAGUCGGAUGUGAAAUCCCUGAGCUUAACUUAGGAAUUGCAUUCGAUACUGGGAAGCUAGAGUAUUGGAGAGGAUGGUAGAAUUCCAGGUGUAGCGGUGAAAUGCGUAGAGAUCUGGAGGAAUACCGAUGGCGAAGGCAGCCAUCUGGCCUAAUACUGACGCUGAGGUACGAAAGCAUGGGGAGCAAACAGGAUUAGAUACCCCUGUAGUCCCUGUCUCUUAUAC
This 301-nucleotide ribosomal RNA is filed under the name uncultured bacterium. RNAcentral's name for it is "partial 16S ribosomal RNA". It matches the Rfam family "Bacterial small subunit ribosomal RNA", at positions 509 to 807 of the family's 1533-position model. The record is from RNAcentral.